GGCCUGGUGGUCUAGUAGUAUGAUUCCUUGUUAGGGUUUGCCUAAUCUCGAGGAGGUCCCGGGUUCAAUUCCCGGCCAGGCCC
Non-coding RNA from Hydnomerulius pinastri MD-312, 83 nucleotides. The record is from the annotation of a GenBank genome assembly. Lineage: Eukaryota; Fungi; Basidiomycota; Agaricomycetes; Boletales.